AUGUUUCACAUUCACAACAGAAGCACCAAAGGUUUUUUUCCCUCUUAACAAGCAUCGAGAAUAAUAGGGUUUAAAAGAGAGAAGAGAGAGAGAGAGAAAGAGCUUAGAGAAAAAAGUUUUCCCAACUUCUCAUUCCGCCUUCAGUUCCAGACUUCAGAGUCACCGUGAUCAUGCAAGCCUUUCACAUCACGUGAGGAUCAAGGGCUCAAUUGGUUGUCGUGAGAACAAAAAUGGUGACAAGCGUAUCAAGAAAAUACUGAUCUGGUCUUUAAAAAAAAGCUGAAGGUCUCUCGCCUCCCCCCGCACACACUCCCCGCACCGUCGCCCCCGCCCCCACCCGCAGUGGGCGAAGCUACAAGUUAUGAAUGUGAAACAUUUCUCAGAUCUAGGAUCUCGGAAGUUCGGAAGGAGUGAAAUGUAAUGAGCACAAGAGCAAAGCAGAUGUUUUAAAGAAACACCUUAUAAACCUUUCCUCAACUUAUCUCCAAUUUGUUGGCUUUCCCAAGGGGCCAGAGACGCGGACGCCUGGGGGAGGGGGAACAGCACCUCUGAACUAUUAGGAUUUUAGGGACCCCUUCAUGUAUUACACAAAGAAAAACAUUUUUUCUAGCUUUCAAACUGGGUCCUUAAAUAAACACACCAUUGUUACUAUUUGUGGGUUUGUUUGGGUUGGGUGGGGCUUUUUUUUUUUCCUUCUUUUUCUCUUAAUGGUGUCUUUGCUGGUUGCUUUUUUUUAAGACGGUGGAAAAUGGUAGUUAUAACCAUUAUAUGUAAUGGAUGAAUGUCCCCUUAAUAUUAAAUUAUUGGGCACUAGAAUGUGACAGGAGACAAAAAUCGGCUUGUUCUGCCCUUGCCCCCAUUUUAAUGGCUCUGUUUGGGAGGGGAUCUGCCCAGCUAGGAAAGGAGAGGAAGAAGGUAAGGUGCGCUAGAGAAUUGACACUACUGACCAGGAUAUGUAACUGUGUCACUUUUAUUCUCCUUUGGGUUAGAGCCCAAAAGGUAAUUUACUCUAAGUUACCCCGAGUGCCCAGUCAAGCUUAAUUUGUGUGAAGAAGUUACAAAUGCUUUACCCUCCACUGAAUAAAAUUCACCCUUCUUGGGUUGUUCUAAAUGCAAAA
Long non-coding RNA from Marmota monax (woodchuck), 1118 nucleotides. RefSeq lists it as uncharacterized. The record is from RefSeq and is a predicted model, not a curated record. The transcript has 2 exons. Lineage: Eukaryota; Metazoa; Chordata; Mammalia; Rodentia; Sciuridae.